RNAcentral lists this ribosomal RNA (423 nucleotides) under uncultured bacterium. RNAcentral describes it as "partial 16S ribosomal RNA". It matches the Rfam family "Bacterial small subunit ribosomal RNA", at positions 360 to 775 of the family's 1533-position model. The record is from RNAcentral.
AAUUUUGGACAAUGGGGGAAACCCUGAUCCAGCCAUCCCGCGUGUAUGAUGAAGGNCUNNGGGUUNUNAAGUACUUUUGGCAGNNNNNAAAAGGUACCUCCUAAUACGAGGUACUGCUGCCGGUAUCUGCAGAAUAAGCACCGUCUAACUACGUGCCAGCAGCCGCGGUAAUACGUAGGGUGCAAGCGUUAAUCGGAAUUACUGGGCGUAAAGAGGGCGCAGGCGGUUCGGAAAGAAAGAUGUGAAAUCCCGGGGCUCAACCUCGGAACUGCAUUUUUAACUACCGGACUAGAGUAUGUCAGAGGGGGGUAGAAUUCCACGUGUAGCAGUGAAAUGCGUAGAUAUGUGGAGGAAUACCGAUGGCGAAGGCAGCCCCCUGGGAUAAUACUGACGCUCAGACACGAAAGCGUGGGGAGCAAACAG